GGCGGACGGGUGAGUAACACGUAGGUAACCUGCCCCGGAGCGGGGGAUAACAUUUGGAAACAGAUGCUAAUACCGCAUAACAACAAAAGCCACAUGGCUUUUGUUUGAAAGAUGGCUUCGGCUAUCACUCUGGGAUGGACCUGCGGUGCAUUAGCUAGUUGGUAAGGUAACGGCUUACCAAGGCGAUGAUGCAUAGCCGAGUUGAGAGACUGAUCGGCCACAAUGGAACUGAGACAC
RNAcentral lists this ribosomal RNA (237 nucleotides) under Limosilactobacillus reuteri. Its description in RNAcentral is "partial 16S ribosomal RNA". It matches the Rfam family "Bacterial small subunit ribosomal RNA", at positions 97 to 327 of the family's 1533-position model. The record is from RNAcentral. Lineage: Bacteria; Bacillati; Bacillota; Bacilli; Lactobacillales; Lactobacillaceae. RNAcentral also lists the same sequence under 1 other name.